UCACUUCAAUGAGAGCAGGAGCUUUCAUAUGCUGAGAGAGAAUCAGGGAACUUAUGUCAAAGCUUUCUGUUCCAGAUGCUACCUCUGGCCAACAAACUGUAACAUCCAGUGCUCAUACAGACAUUUAGGCGUUUAUACAGAGAUGAAGCAGUUCCAACAGAACUCCAGGAGGAACCCACCAAGUCAAGUACAUGAUGACUGUAAAAAUUGCUGGUGUCCAGAAAGCCGUGGUUUCAGCAGUUCUGGAUCAUGCUGAGUGAAAGCUGCUGCCCUCUCCUGGAAGGAAUGCCAGAGCUCUGGGUAUGAUACUGGAGAGAUCAAGCAGUAAGCCAAGAAGCAAAGCUGGGGCAUCUUGAAGAGUUAACCUGAAGUUCAUCUGGGAAAUGAUCUCACUUUUACAGAGUGGAGCACCCACAGAUGCCUGUCCUUUACAUAAGGAAUAGGGAGCAUCCUCUUGCAGGUGAUGUGAAACCUGGCUUUGGAAGUGGAAAGCUGUUACAGUAUUUAUCAAAAGAAGGAAAAUGGGAGCAAUGUUAGAGAGUUCUACUUUCAGUCCAAAACAUUUUCUACAAGUCUCUGUUUUGUUGUGAUGUUUUCUUGCCUGUUUCUUUUCUCUGUGUUUUAGUCUCACUGUAAAACUGGUUGAACUAUACAUUAUAGCCCAGACUUUCUGUGCCUGACAGGCAAUUCCACAUCUCUCUCCCGCUACGGACCAUCUAAUUUAGAGGGAUGGUGGGCAGAAGUGACUGCUGCAAGAUGACACUAAUUUGAAGGUCCUACAAGGGUCACCAGUUGUGACCAAAGACUUGUGAAGUUUUGUAGGUUUUGAGGAACAAAACAAUAGAAGCUCCAAAGUGUGUUUUUGCUUUCCCUCUCCUGACUUCAUUUACUUGCUCAUUAAAUUCUGAAGCAUGUAGCUACACCCAUACAAAAUUACUACAUUUCGUAACCUUUAAUUGAUUUGCGUAUUUAUGGGGAAACUGGUAUUUCGGGACUAUCCAACUGUGCCAUCACUAUCACCUUUCCAUGGGUCUCUGUGUGCUUGGUUGCUACAAAGAAAUCCUGAUGUAUGUCUGCCUGGCACACACCUGGAAGCUCCGUGGGUAGAAUUCUUCACUGCAGGUUACUAAUACUGAAAUCAGGAGAGCCCUUAUUUGUAGAUGGGGCAGAUAUUCAUUGCAGCAUGCCUUGCUCUGUUUGCUUAGGUUGGGUGUUGGUAUUCCAGCCAAGAUUUUGAAACACAUCAGUGUGCUGCAUGCUGUUAAUGAUGUUCCUUUUCCAUACCAUUAGGAAAGGCAGAGACACUGCUGGCAUGGACAGGUAUGAAAACAGUUACUGACGUGGGUCUAAUUGCUCCCUCUGGGAUUUUCAGCAGUUGUAAAUCCAGAGAUGCAGUCCAUGUAUGUGUGAACUGAGAAGAAGGUGAGGGUCCUCACAACUCCAUGUCUGUCUCAAGAGCACUAUGGCUGAAAAUCCACUUCAGUGGACCCAGCCACAGAACUGCAGGAUGGUUUCUUGCCAUACACAGCUGUGUGUGACAAGGCAUUUCUGCUUCACUCACUUUGUUGAUCGCAUUUUAAACUUUUCCUCCUAAUUGUUGAGGCUGGAAAGCCUUGCAGAUAAUAUGUAGACCAUGAAGAGUGAUCAUUCAGUGUCUUUUCUAUAUCUAAUGUCCCUGUGGUUCUGGUCUUGGUUACACAGGUCAUCCUGCUGGCAUGAAUACUAUUGCUUCAGGCUUGAGUGUUGCAAGUACAAAUCUUACCCUAAAUAAAUAGUGAUGGAGAAUAGCCAGGACAAGCACCAUCUGACGCAGAGCACUGAGUUGCUGGGUUAUAUAUCUCUAAACUGAGGAGUCAGCUCCAGCUGCAGCUGAGAGCUCUGCAGUGGCUCAAAGGGGAUGGUGAGAAUUUGCUAGUGACCCACCAAAGCCAUCUUCAAAAAGCCUAGUGUUCCCAGGGAGAAUGUAGUCACAGUCCUGUGCCCUGUUACCAGCAGGCAUUUAGAAGACAGUGAAGGCUUGCAUAGGGCAAAUGCAGCAUGUUGGGUGAUAACUACAUAAUGGUAGUGGGCCUGACCAUGGCUCCAAAUGUCAGCUUUGGGAACUGGUGUCCAGCCACACUGCAGCAUUGGCAGGCCAACCAGAGCAGGCAGGAGGCUAGCCAAGGAGCUGAGGCUGCAUGACACAGCAGUGAGGAGAAGCAGCUGCAGCCCAGAGGCACCUGAGGUCAUUUUGUGGAGACCGAGAUUUACUGAGGCUUUCACAUGAGGCUGGUUUGGAACAAGCUAAGGGCAGUACAUGACCGUAACAUGACCUGCCCUUCUUAACCCAAGAGACUGAAUCCUUAUUAAAUUUUCUAGGUCUGGUGGAAAACACUGUUCUUCAGGGGCUAGAGCUUGUGCAAGGUUGCUUUGUGGAUGGCCAUUGCACAAAAAGGAAUCAUUUAUGAAACACCCUGCCCAUGGGUGUUGAAAAAAGGUGUUUGCCUGAAGUGGUUUGUGGCACCACAGCUGGAGUUAUCAGAUGGGGAUGUGCUCACAGACACUAACUCAACAAAAUGG
Molecule: non-coding RNA, 2559 nt
Organism: Coturnix japonica (Japanese quail)
Lineage: Eukaryota; Metazoa; Chordata; Aves; Galliformes; Phasianidae
Source: RefSeq, a predicted model, not a curated record